Molecule: non-coding RNA, 310 nt
Organism: Odocoileus virginianus texanus
Lineage: Eukaryota; Metazoa; Chordata; Mammalia; Artiodactyla; Cervidae
Source: RefSeq, a predicted model, not a curated record
CUAGAACUCAGAAAGGCAGAGGGCGGUAAACAUUCCAGGUGAAGGAACCAACAUGUAAGGCGGAGAGUACAGCACAACAAGAUAACUAAUGUGGUUAAAACAGAGUGCAUAUUAUGAAGUCUUGACUAUCUGAAGUCACUGUACCUCCUCAUUUGAUAACUGAGCUGAAGAGUCUUCAUGAGUUAAAGCACACACUACUGGUAUUUUUACUUCCUCCUCAACAUCUGUUUUUUUGUGAUCCUUUCUCUUACUAAGCCUUUGCUGUUCAUCUUCUUCCUAAAAGUUAGGAAUAAAAAAUAUAUAUUACUCA